Molecule: ribosomal RNA, 440 nt
Filed under: uncultured bacterium
Lineage: Bacteria
Description: bacterial SSU rRNA
Rfam family: Bacterial small subunit ribosomal RNA
Source: RNAcentral
CCUACGGGUGGCUGCAGUAGGGAAUAUUGGUCAAUGGGUGCGAGCCUGAACCAGCCAUGCCGCGUGCAGGAAGACGGCCUUCUGGGUUGUAAACUGCUUUUGUCAGGGGAUAAAAUAGCCUUGCGAGGCGAAUUGAAGGUACCCGCAGAAGAAGCCCCGGCUAACUUCGUGCCAGCAGCCGCGGUAAUACGAAGGGGGCUAGCGUUGUUCGGAUUUACUGGGCGUAAAGCGCGCGUAGGCGGACAUCUAAGUCAGGGGUGAAAUCCCAAGGCUCAACCUUGGAACUGCCUUUGAUACUGGACGUCUGGAGUUCGGGAGAGGUGAGUGGAAUUCCGAGUGUAGAGGUGAAAUUCGUAGAUAUUCGGAGGAACACCAGAAGCGAAGGCGGCUCACUGGCCCGAUACUGACGCUGAGGCGCGAAAGCGUGGGGAGCAAACAGG